CUAGGAACAACAGAAAACAAUAUAUAAAAUGCCGGCGUUAUUACUACGUAUAUAAAUGCAUAUACAUGAAGAAAUCUGAGCAUCGAAACACUGUAACCACGUGGCGGUAAAACAUUGAACUAAAAGCGACGUGACAUAACUACAAACGGGGUAUAGGAGUAGACUGGACAUCCAAUGUAUUAUCGCAGACGAGAUAUCAAAUAUGCUUUUAUAUGCAUUCUUAAUGGAAUCUAUAGUAUCAGAACUUUUUCCAAAAAGGAAUUACCCAGUAACAGAGGGGCUGGCUUUUCUUUCGGUACGUCAAAGAUGAACUGCGCGUUUCGGUGAACGGUAUUUUCGUUAUCCCCUGAAAAUAUAACCACGUAAUAGACAUUAACACCGUAAAACUUAAACUAUAUGAAAAUAAAAUAAUCUUACCCAUACAAUGCCAUAAAACAACUGGAAUAUAACAAUCAUCAUUGUUCGCUGUGCAAAUGCACAAGAGAAUUGGUAACAAGAACGUAUAUUUUCCGAAUGAAAUCAUUGGGUGUUUACCGUGAGAUAAAAAGUAGUAAUCGAUAUUAA
This is a non-coding RNA of Megalopta genalis, 564 nucleotides long. Lineage: Eukaryota; Metazoa; Arthropoda; Insecta; Hymenoptera; Halictidae. The record is from RefSeq and is a predicted model, not a curated record.